This 384-nucleotide long non-coding RNA is filed under the name Carica papaya (papaya). RNAcentral's name for it is "long non-coding RNA (CPAP_LNC014721)". Lineage: Eukaryota; Viridiplantae; Streptophyta; Magnoliopsida; Brassicales; Caricaceae. The record is from RNAcentral.
UAGGAAACCCAGAUGAAAGAAAAUUAAGCGUAAUGGGGAAUAAUGUAACUCUAGAAAAGCAGGACACCUCAGCAGAUGAGACUGACCAAUAACACCCCGCCACGUGGAUAGCCACGCCAGCUGACCUGCACGUGUGGUCAGCCACGCAAACAGGAGGGUGUGUAGAUUGGAUUGCUAGGAUUCUAGAUACCGAAGGAACGGCUAAGGGUUAAUUUAGAAAUGAGCGAUUGGAACUAAAAGGCCAGAAGAUCGAACAGCUAUGAGAACUGAUUGUUUCAAUUUGCAGAGUAGAGAGAUCCAACGGUCUAGAUUUCGCUCAGAUAAAAAGUAUGAAAUUACUAUUAGUGAGGCUUGAUCCUCAGGUCCUUCUGUUGCCAUGCACGC